UACGAAGGGGGCGAGCGUUAUUCGGAUUUACUGGGCGUAAAGGGCGCGCAGGCGGCUAUCCAAGUCAGGCGUGAAAGCCCCGGGCUUAACCUGGGAGGUGCGUCUGGGACUGGGUGGCUAGAGUUCGGGAGAGGAGAGUGGAAUUCCCAGUGUAGAGGUGAAAUUCGUAGAUAUUGGGAAGAACACCGGUGGCGAAGGCGGCUCUCUGGACCGAGACUGACGCUGAGGCGCGAAAGCGUGGGGAGCAAACAGG
RNAcentral lists this ribosomal RNA (253 nucleotides) under uncultured bacterium. RNAcentral's name for it is "partial 16S ribosomal RNA". It matches the Rfam family "Bacterial small subunit ribosomal RNA", at positions 524 to 776 of the family's 1533-position model. The record is from RNAcentral.